AGCAGCAGUGGGGAAUCUUGGACAAUGGGCGCAAGCCUGAUCCAGCCAUGCCGCGUGAGUGAUGAAGGCCUUAGGGUCGUAAAGCUCUUUCGCCAGAGAUGAUAAUGACAGUAUCUGGUAAAGAAACCCCGGCUAACUCCGUGCCAGCAGCCGCGGUAAUACGGAGGGGGUUAGCGUUGUUCGGAAUUACUGGGCGUAAAGCGUACGUAGGCGGAUUAGUCAGUCAGAGGUGAAAUCCCAGGGCUCAACCCUGGAACUGCCUUUGAUACUGCUAGUCUUGAGUUCGAGAGAGGUGAGUGGAAUUCCAAGUGUAGAGGUGAAAUUCGUAGAUAUUUGGAGGAACACCAGUGGCGAAGGCGGCUCACUGGCUCGAUACUGACGCUGAGGUACGAAAGUGUGGGGAGCAAACAGGAUUAGAUACCCUGGUAGUCCACACCGUAAACGAUGAAUGCCAGUCGUCGGGCAGUAUACUGUUCGGUGACACACCUAACGGAUUAAGCAUCCGC
RNAcentral lists this ribosomal RNA (506 nucleotides) under uncultured bacterium. RNAcentral describes it as "bacterial SSU rRNA". It matches the Rfam family "Bacterial small subunit ribosomal RNA", at positions 347 to 872 of the family's 1533-position model. The record is from RNAcentral.